UACGGGGGGGGCAAGCGUUGUUCGGAAUUACUGGGCGGAAAGGGCUCGUAGGUGGCCAACUAAGUCAAUCGUGAAAUCCCUCGGCUUAACCGGGGAACUGCGCUUGAUACUGGAUGGCUUGAGUUUGGGAGAGGGAUGCGGAAUUCCAGGUGUAGCGGUGAAAUGCGUAGAUAUCUGGAGGAACACCGGUGGCGAAGGCGGCAUCCUGGACCGGCAUUGACGCUGAGGAGCGAAAGCCAGGGGAGCAAACGGG
This 253-nucleotide ribosomal RNA is filed under the name uncultured bacterium. RNAcentral describes it as "partial 16S ribosomal RNA". It matches the Rfam family "Bacterial small subunit ribosomal RNA", at positions 524 to 776 of the family's 1533-position model. The record is from RNAcentral.